Mus musculus (house mouse) is the source of this 2407-nucleotide long non-coding RNA. RefSeq annotates it as predicted gene, 41175. The record is from RefSeq and is a predicted model, not a curated record. NCBI's taxonomy places the organism in Eukaryota, Metazoa, Chordata, Mammalia, Rodentia, Muridae. The transcript has 2 exons.
CCUCUGAGCAGGAUGGAAAGCAGCCGUGAUCUGCCCACUUUACUGAUGGAGAAACCAAGGCACCAAGAGCAGACACAGCGCCGCAUGCUUCUGCCACCGUACCUUCCCCACCGUGACAGACUGUGUGCACUUAAACUGUGAGCCAGAAUAAGCCCUUCCAUCUUCAAGCUGCCUCAAGCCAAACAGGCAAAAAAACCAAUAAAGUUCCUGGGAGACAUCCAUGGCCCUGUCUUAGCCACACACCCUCCAUUGCCUUUCUCCUCUGGCUACCACAAAGCUGGAGGUGGUAGGAGACACCCAUGGAGCUCUUCUGGGCACUGGAACUCAGUGAGUUGCUCGAAGAGCCACUCUGGGAGCAUGGUGCACCUCAAGGAGGGAGCACUCUCCCCACAAGGAGCUUGAAGGUCAAAUAACAGCAUUUAAAGGACUCACAGAAGAGCCAGAUGCACAUUUCCCUGGAUCCUUCCUCCCAAAAUGUCAUCAGGAAUAUCAAAACACCACCUCUGCAGCCAGCUGGAUAAAGGCAAGCCUCUGCCUCAGAGACUCUAAAACAAAGGUCAGUUGCUCAGCUGCAUGGCACAGGGCUUGCGGGUGCUGGGAUCUGGCUGGCUGAAACACAUCAUACAGGCCCUCUUCAUCUGCCCUCCCUGCCCAGUCUAAGAAACCCCUUAGACUGAGCAAAGAACUCGACUGCCCAAUACCCUGUGGCUCCAAAACAUGGUAACAUUUGAAUGGGGUCUAAGAAAUGUCCUGGAAGGAACACGGGUUCUGCCACAUGAUAUCUAGCUUGAGUGUAGAGCCUUAUAAUCUUGGGCAAUGAAGCUACUAAGACUCAAUUUAUCAUUUGUGAGCCAGGGAUAAAAAUACAGGCUUUGAAUAUGCAAUGAAUAAUGAAUCUUUGCUUUUAUAUAGCUGUGUGUGCAUAUAUAUAUGUAUGUGUAUAUAUAUGUAUAUAUAUAAUUUCUAUAUAACACACACAUAUAUAGCAUGCAUAAAUAUACAAACUAAAUAUAUAUAGAGAAUGCUUAUAAAGAGUAUAAGCAUAUGUUGUCUUCAUAUUAUAUAUAUAUAUAUAUAUAUAUUGCAUAUGUUCUUGAAAUCAUAUUCAUGUACCUAUUUAUUUUUGCCUGUAUCCACUAGAAUGUGAGCCCUCAGAAAGCAGAGACACCUCUGCUGUGCCCAUCAUGGCACCCUGAGUCCAGUCCUUGGAAGUCUUUAUCCCCUUGGCAUCCCCCAUGAGCAGAUAACUGCAGAGAACGUCAUUCCUGAUACAGAAAGUGGGAACACGGCUUAGAGCAAGGCUGAAUACUGAGAACUGCUUUUGCUCUGGGACCUAAGUCCUUGACACUAGGAGUCCUGGAAGAAUCAGGCAAGCUUUUGAUGGCAUAGUGUUAACAUCAGCCAUUGCACUGGGCACUUCAUUGGUAUCAGGAGCUGAAGUGUCACCCACUCCUCCCCAAACUCCUGGGGAUAGGAAGGAUUGGCUGUAGCUCACAAAAGGACCACUGAGGGAGUGACAGAAGGACCCUCAUACCCGAGGGCCACAGCUCCAUGAGGACUGGUGCUAAGCAAGGUCAGUGCUCACAGGGGACAGAACCUUUCUUCUAGGUGACAGUCUCCAGCCCACCCAAAAGAUGAGUAAGACCCAGCUCAUCUUGGCAGCAGCAAGCCCUGGGCCCGGGACACUGAGAUGCUCCCUCGGAAUCUUCGGGGUGGGAAGACUCUCCAGAAGCUCAGGACUCUGCAGUUCUCCCCAGGACUGUGCUGCACUGGCUCAGAAUUCCUGCAUCUGAUGUGUGCAUCUGGCCUCACAGUUGAGUAGCACCCCCGCCCCACCCCUUGAAGACUUCCUCACUUCCUUUUCCUUAGCAUCAGCGAUGGCCAGAGUGCAGAGACACUCUGGGAGUCCCUGCUGCCCUCCUUCCUGUGGCUGAUGCCCAAAGGAGAGCUGAGAGUCUACCUGGCGCCCUUCCCAGCGGCUAGUCCAGUGGACUUCAGCAGCAAUAUUUCAUGCCUUCUCUCUGCAGACUCUCACCACAGAGCUGAUCUGUGCAAGCACAGCUUCCCACCUACCCCAUGAGAACCCUGGGGUGCCAGGGACAUAGACUGAGGUGACCCCAUUCUUUUUGGCCUUUGCUGUUAAGUUUAAACGUCAUUAAAGAUUCUGCAAGCACGCUUGAUCUCAGGACUCAGCCCUGGAUCCUCCUCAAUUCUGCGACACCUUUUUCUGUAUUUGCCAAGGUUCUCUCCCUUGUACUUCUUGGCCUCAAGGUGACCUACUGACCUCAUGAAUCGUCUUUUACAACUCCACUGCAAGCUGCAAGAAGCGCUGCUGCCUUUCCCAUCCCUCCCUGGCUUCAUUACACACAACACUCUCUAAGAGAGAAAAUUAAAUAUUUGCUUGUCA